RNAcentral lists this ribosomal RNA (453 nucleotides) under uncultured Porphyromonadaceae bacterium. RNAcentral's name for it is "partial 16S ribosomal RNA". It matches the Rfam family "Bacterial small subunit ribosomal RNA", at positions 341 to 792 of the family's 1533-position model. The record is from RNAcentral. Lineage: Bacteria; Pseudomonadati; Bacteroidota; Bacteroidia; Bacteroidales; Porphyromonadaceae.
ACGGAAGGCAGCAGUGAGGAAUAUUGGUCAAUGGGCGAGAGCCUGAACCAGCCAAGUCGCGUGAAGGAUGAAGGUUCUAUGGAUUGUAAACUUCUUUUGUUCGAGGGUAAAGUGAGGGAUGCGUCUCUUAUCGCAAGUAUCGAACGAAUAAGCAUCGGCUAACUCCGUGCCAGCAGCCGCGGUAAUACGGAGGAUGCGAGCGUUAUCCGGAUUUAUUGGGUUUAAAGGGUGCGUAGGCGGGAUGUUAAGUCAGCGGUGAAAGCGUGUAGCUCAACUAUACCAAGCCGUUGAAACAGGCGUUCUUGAGUGUAAACGAGGUAGGCGGAAUGUGACGUGUAGCGGUGAAAUGCUUAGAUAUGUCACAGAACCCCGAUUGCGAAGGCAGCUUACCAGCAUACAACUGACGCUGAGGCACGAAAGUGCGGGGAUCAAACAGGAUUAGAUACCCUGGUA